UCCUCCCUCAAACCUCGGGUUUGGUGUUGGACCCAAGUUGUGUGCACAACUGGUCUCAAAGACAAUGACGGCGUCCGUGGGACCCUCGGUGCAACGAGCUUUUAACGAGCACGCGUCGAGUUUCAAGGACCUUCCGGGCCGGUCUCCUUUUAUUUACACA
Molecule: unclassified non-coding RNA, 160 nt
Filed under: uncultured Knufia
Lineage: Eukaryota; Fungi; Ascomycota; Eurotiomycetes; Chaetothyriales; Chaetothyriaceae
Description: sequence contains ITS2
Source: RNAcentral